Molecule: non-coding RNA, 749 nt
Organism: Clarias gariepinus (North African catfish)
Lineage: Eukaryota; Metazoa; Chordata; Actinopteri; Siluriformes; Clariidae
Source: the annotation of a RefSeq genome assembly
AUGAUCACACUCUUUGUGGCUCUUUACUCUCUGCUUUGUCUCUGCACAACUGGAAACACUUCUGACAUCAAGGAGCUUCAAGUGAAAACAGUAAACCAUGGAGAUACUGUAACUAUGGAGUGUAAUGUCAAAAGCAGAAGUAAUUUAGCUUGGUACAGACAGAGUUUUGGAAAAGUGCCUCAGGUUUUUAUAAGACACUACCAAGCAAGCAAUCAGAGCUACACAUUUGUUGAUGGAUUUAAUGAUAACCGCUUCAGUGGUACUGUAGAAGAACAAAAGUUUGAUCUCAACAUUAAUGAAAUAAGAGAAGAUGAUGGAGGAGAAUAUUUCUGUGGAUAUGUGGAGGGAAGUACACCAAAGUUCACAUCUGGAACACGUCUGCAGUUUGAAGGUGAAGAGAUGAAACCCUGUCCUACACCUGGAACACUUAACAAGAACACACACUCUGUUACACACCAGGGUUCAAACAGCAGAGAUGGAGAAGGUGCUUCAUCAAACAACCAUCAAAUUCCCACCAAUCAGGCUGAUGAUGAAGAUGUCUUGAACUAUGCAGCUGUGAGUUUUGCUAAGAAACCUUCAUCCUCCAGAACAUCCAGAGACACGAGCCAUCAAGACGUUUAUGCACAAGUUAAAAUAAAAUAGAUAAAGAGAAAUAAAGUCAGAACUGAAAAACAAUAUGAAUGUAAUCAUCCCAGUUUGUACACAGAUGUGUUAUUCAGACAAAAACAUUUUCAUUACUGAAACGUUUA